Molecule: non-coding RNA, 30 nt
Filed under: Rattus norvegicus (Norway rat)
Lineage: Eukaryota; Metazoa; Chordata; Mammalia; Rodentia; Muridae
Source: RNAcentral
UUUAAAGACUUCUUUCUGAAUGCCAUUGAA